AACGAACGCUGGCGGCAUGCCUAACACAUGCAAGUCGAGCGAGACCUUCGGGUCUAGUUGCGCACGGGUUCGUAACGCGUGGGAAGCUUCACUUAGGGUCGGAAUAACUUCCCGAAAGGGGUGCUAAUAGCGGAUGAUGUCUUCGGACCCAAAAUGUAUCGCCUUUGGAUGGUCCCGCGUUGGAUUAGCUAGUUGGUAGGGUAAAAGCCUACCAAGGCUACUUUCCAUAGCUGGUCUGAGAGGAUGAUCAGCCACACUAGGACUGUGACACGGCCCAGACUCCUGCGGGAGGAAGCAGUUGGGAAUAUUGGACAACGGGCGAGAGCCUGAUCCAGUCAUGCCGCGUGAGUGAUGAAGGCCUGAGGGUUGUAAAGCUCUUUUACCCGGGAUGAUAAUGACAGUACCGGGAGAAUAAGCUCCGGCUAACUCCGUG
RNAcentral lists this ribosomal RNA (433 nucleotides) under uncultured bacterium. RNAcentral's name for it is "partial 16S ribosomal RNA". It matches the Rfam family "Bacterial small subunit ribosomal RNA", at positions 29 to 507 of the family's 1533-position model. The record is from RNAcentral.